This 883-nucleotide long non-coding RNA is filed under the name Hordeum vulgare. RNAcentral describes it as "long non-coding RNA (HVUL_LNC012861)". Lineage: Eukaryota; Viridiplantae; Streptophyta; Magnoliopsida; Poales; Poaceae. The record is from RNAcentral.
UACUAGACAUUAUCCCACGCUAGGGGGGCUGGCGCGGCCUCGUGUCUAGUGGGCACCAGGGGGGCCCUCUGGUGGUUCUUUGCUCCAGUAUUUCUCUUUUCCUGCAAAAAAAAUCGCCAAAAAGUUUCGUCCAAUUCCGAAAACUUUUAUUUCUGCACAAAAAACAACACCACGGUAGUUGUGCUGAAAACAACGUCAGUCCGAGUUAGUUUUAAAUAGAUCAUAUAAAGUGCAGCAAAAACGUAUAAAAAUAUUGUAAACAUAGACAAACAUGGCAUGACUACUUCAUAAAUUAUUGAUACGUUGGAGACGUAUCACCCUUCCGUGGUCGAACCAUAAUAGCAGCAUGUGCUCUGAACCGAGUGCUACAUGUAAAUAGUUAGCAGCAACACACGUGAUAUACCCAACUGUGACGGUAAAGUUAGAGGGAACAACUAGUGGAGCCCACUUAUGAACAACGUUGGGCUAAUCACACGCGGUGUAGGUAAAACGGUAGUAGUAGUGCUGUGUGCGCACCCCGUGCUAGUGACAAGAAAAAUAAAAAAAAGGAAAAGAAAAGAAAAUGAAAUGAAAAGUAAAAAAAGAAAGUUAAUUAAAAUAAAAAUAAAAAUAAACAAAAGAAAAAAUAAAAAAUAAAAAAUAAAAUAAUAACCUAGCUUGAAAGUAAUGAAAAAGAAAAAGGAAAGGAAAAAUAAUAAAAAGAAAAAGGAAACAAAAGAAAAAAGGAAAAAAAGGAAAAAAGGAAAAGGAAAACAAAAGAUAAAAGAAAAAGAGAAAUAAUAAAAAGAAAAGGAAAAAAGAAAAAAGAAAAGAAAAGAGAAAACAAAAGGAAUAAGAAAACAAAAGAAAAAUAAAAAAAGGAAAGAAAAAAGAUAAAAAAGAC